RNAcentral lists this long non-coding RNA (248 nucleotides) under Homo sapiens (human). RNAcentral describes it as "HSALNT0230670". Lineage: Eukaryota; Metazoa; Chordata; Mammalia; Primates; Hominidae. The record is from RNAcentral.
CUUAUCAGUGCCUUUUUAAAUGAAUAAUACAGUGACCUUCAGCUUUGUCCUAUAUUAUGUGAGGUUGAUUCGUAAAGACUGCUUUAGUUUUUUAAAUUAAGGCAGAAGCUAUAUGUAUUCUACUCAAUUCUAGCAUUAGUGCUGUCCCAAGAGUGGCAUUUAUGUUCUUUUGCUUCUUUGGUAUAAAUAAAUAUCAAAGUAGGAAGACCAGUGUGAAUUCUACAAGGAAUAAUAAACUAAAAUAAUAU